CCCCGUUGCACUUGCACACCGAGCGACUAUAUUCGAUGUGUUCCUUCGGGGACUAUGGACAUAAACGCGCUCGUAAUAAGCGGAUCGGACCCGGGGGCGGUACCCGGCGGCUCCACCAGAUACCCUCGUUGGGGGAAAACGGGGCCGAAACAGGAUCGACGGACGUCUAAAGGAGUUUGCUUUGUCUCGGCGGGGUGCCACCGUUAUCGGUCCGUAAAGCAUAAUUGCCAACGACAAUCGUGCUCCGGUUGCUCUGGCUGCGUAAGCAGUCCGAAAUACCGAAAUCUAAGCCCUUGCGCCUAGCAGCGUAAGGCGGGGUUCGCAGGUACCUGGCAACAGAAACCUGCAUU
RNAcentral lists this transfer-messenger RNA (350 nucleotides) under Ruegeria marina. RNAcentral's name for it is "Alphaproteobacteria transfer-messenger RNA". It matches the Rfam family "Alphaproteobacteria transfer-messenger RNA". Rfam says of the family: Bacterial tmRNA, also known as 10Sa RNA or SsrA, is named for its dual tRNA and mRNA-like properties. Its role is to liberate the mRNA from a stalled ribosome. The record is from RNAcentral. Lineage: Bacteria; Pseudomonadati; Pseudomonadota; Alphaproteobacteria; Rhodobacterales; Roseobacteraceae.